RNAcentral lists this ribosomal RNA (289 nucleotides) under Thalassiosira minuscula. Its description in RNAcentral is "partial Bacterial large subunit ribosomal RNA". It matches the Rfam family "Bacterial large subunit ribosomal RNA", at positions 175 to 513 of the family's 2925-position model. Lineage: Eukaryota; Bacillariophyta; Thalassiosirophyceae; Thalassiosirales; Thalassiosiraceae. The record is from RNAcentral.
GGGAGCUAACCUGGGGAACUGAAACAUCUAAGUACCCUUAGGAAAGGACAUCAACCGAGACUCCGUCAGUAGCGGCGAGCGAACGCGGACCAGGCCAGUGGCAAAGUUAAGUUAAGUGGAACAAUCUGGAAAGUUUGGCCAUAGUGGGUGAUAGCCCCGUACACGUAAUACGAAACUUUGUCCUCGAGUAGGGCGGGACACGUGAAAUCCUGUCUGAACAUGGGGAGACCACUCUCCAAGCCUAAGUACUCGUGCAUGACCGAUAGCGAACAAGUACCGUGAGGGAAAG